CUGGGAGUGAGACAAGUGGCGCAGUCAUGGGAGAAAGGUCACCUAAAGAGAAAUUAACUGAACAGUCAGGGCAUAAAUCAAAGGGGAAAGAGUCACUUUUAUACAUCCGUCUCCAUGAUUUUCAUGUCCAAUUUAUCAACAAGUUCUCAAUUGUUCCACCAAGAGUACUUGAAUCCGUCACUCCUUUUUUUUUUUUUUUUUAAAGACAGCAUCUCACUCUGUGGCCCAGGCUGGAGUGUGGUGGCACUAUCACAGUUCAUUACAGCCUCAACGUCUCGGACUCAGAUGAUCCUGCCACCUCAAUCUCCCAAGUAGUUGGGACCACAGAAGUGAUUCAGCACUCAGGAUUAUUGCCCACACCCCUACGAUUGCACCCCCAAGCAAUCACCAGCAAGCACCCAAUGCCUAGCCAUCCCCACCCCUUCCCCCAAACUACCUUUGAAAAACCCCUAACCUACCAGCCUUCAAUGAGAUUGAUUUGAGUAAUAACUCCAUCUCCAGUGUGGAGUGGCCAGCCUCACAUCAAUUAAACUCUUUCUUUACUGCAA
This 548-nucleotide long non-coding RNA is filed under the name Homo sapiens (human). Its description in RNAcentral is "HSALNT0394784". Lineage: Eukaryota; Metazoa; Chordata; Mammalia; Primates; Hominidae. The record is from RNAcentral.